Molecule: ribosomal RNA, 445 nt
Filed under: uncultured bacterium
Lineage: Bacteria
Description: bacterial SSU rRNA
Rfam family: Bacterial small subunit ribosomal RNA
Source: RNAcentral
CCAGACUCCUACGGGAGGCAGCAGUCGGGAAUAUUGCGCAAUGGAGGAAACUCUGACGCAGUGACGCCGCGUGCAGGAAGAAGGUUUUCGGAUUGUAAACUGCUUUAGACAGGGAAGAAACAAGACAGUACCUGUAGAAUAAGCUCCGGCUAACUACGUGCCAGCAGCCGCGGUAAUACGUAGGGAGCAAGCGUUAUCCGGAUUUACUGGGUGUAAAGGGAGCGUAGACGGUGAUGCAAGUCAGAAGUGAAAGCCCGGGGCUCAACUCCGGGACUGCUUUUGAAACUGUGUGACUGGAGUGCAGGAGAGGUAAGCGGAAUUCCUGGUGUAGCGGUGAAAUGCGUAGAUAUCAGGAGGAACACCAGUGGCGAAGGCGGCUUACUGGACUGUAACUGACGUUGAGGCUCGAAAGCGUGGGGAGCAAACAGGAUUAGAUACCCCGGUA